This 253-nucleotide ribosomal RNA is filed under the name uncultured bacterium. RNAcentral describes it as "partial 16S ribosomal RNA". It matches the Rfam family "Bacterial small subunit ribosomal RNA", at positions 524 to 776 of the family's 1533-position model. The record is from RNAcentral.
UACGAAGGGGGCUAGCGUUGCUCGGAAUCACUGGGCGUAAAGCGCACGUAGGCGGCUUUUUAAGUCAGGGGUGAAAUCCUGGAGCUCAACUCCAGAACUGCCUUUGAUACUGAGAAGCUUGAGUCCGGGAGAGGUGAGUGGAACUGCGAGUGUAGAGGUGAAAUUCGUAGAUAUUCGGAAGAACACCAGUGGCGAAGGCGGCUCACUGGACCGUUGUUGACGCCGAGGUGCGAAAGCGUGGGGAGCAAACAGG